AGAGUUUGAUCAUGGCUCAGAUUGAACGCUGGCGGCGUGCCUAACACAUGCAAGUCGUGCGAGAAAGUGGGCUUCGGCCCGCGAGUACAGCGGCGCACGGGUGAGUAACACGUGGGUGAUCUCCCUUACAGAUCGGGAUAACGGCGGGAAACUGCUGCUAAUACCGGAUACGAUCCAUUUAAUCGUGGAUGAAAGGCGGCCUCUGCUUGCAAGCUGCCACUGUGAGAUGAGCCCGCGUCCCAUUAGCUUGUUGGCGGGGUAAUGGCCCACCAAGGCUACGAUGGGUAGCUGGUCUGAGAGGAUGACCAGCCACACUGGGACUGAAACACGGCCCAGACUCCUACGGGAGGCAGCAGUGGGGAAUAUUGCGCAAUGGGCGAAAGCCUGACGCAGCGACGCCGUGUGAGGGAAGAAGGCCUUCGGGUCGUAAACCUCUGUCAGAAGGGAAGAACCCCCAAGGCUCGAACAGGGCCUUGGGCUGACGGUACCUUCAGAGGAAGCACCGGCUAAUUCCGUGCCAGCAGCCGCGGUAAUACGGAAGGUGCAAGCGUUAAUCGGAAUCACUGGGCGUAAAGCGCACGUAGGCGGCUACGUAAGUCGGAUGUGAAAGCCCUCGGCUCAACCGGGGAACUGCAUUCGAAACUGCGUGGCUGGAGUCCUGGAGAGGGUGGCGGAAUUCCCGGUGUAGGAGUGAAAUCCGUAGAUAUCGGGAGGAACACCAGUGGCGAAGGCGGCCACCUGGACAGGUACUGACGCUGAGGUGCGAAAGUGUGGGGAGCAAACAGGAUUAGAUACCCUGAUAGUCCACACCGUAAACGAUGGAUGCUAGGUGUCGGGGAGUACUCUUCGGCGCCGUAGUUAACGCGUUAAGCAUCCCGCCUGGGGAAGUACGGUCGCAAGGCUGAAACUUAAAUGAAUUGACGG
Molecule: ribosomal RNA, 924 nt
Filed under: Desulfovibrionaceae bacterium enrichment culture clone L35B_20
Lineage: Bacteria; Pseudomonadati; Thermodesulfobacteriota; Desulfuromonadia; Desulfuromonadales; Desulfuromonadaceae
Description: bacterial SSU rRNA
Rfam family: Bacterial small subunit ribosomal RNA
Source: RNAcentral